UCGCGUUAAACAAUGUUUAUUUUUACAGAGUGGCCAUCUGAGCCCCCUGACUGAAGAGGAAAUCACCAAUUACUACAAUGUCUGAAAUAUAAAGGCUUGAAGAUUGGCUUGUCCCAGAGUCUGCAGUUGUUCAUGAAUUCUUCCACAGUUACUUGCUAGGAAGUGAAAUAUCUGCAGUCAUUAGGUCACGAUGGUUGCAUUUCUGGACCUUAUGUGUUCGGUGAUCUGAUGGCUUGCCUGUACCUGUGGUGGAGAAUGAAUUAAGAAUUUAAUCUGUUUGGAGACUCCGUAAUAAGUGCUGGAGUUUGUUGUAAAGGACAUGAUUACAUAAAUGCUUUCAGAGUUUCUCCAACUCUCCUCAACACCCCUAUCUGGAAGUUUCAAAUAAAACCAAAUAAGACUUGUGAAUCGUUUGUUUGAUUUUAGGAUUGGAGACUUGAAGCUUAACUUUGCAGGACUCUUCGCUUCCAAGAACAAUUUGGUGACUACUGCUAUAAUUUAAUAAAGAUACAAAUUUUUAAUAACAGUCAUAGAUUGUCCACCACGCAAAGUUAGUUUGGCUUUUUUUUUUUUUUUUGGCUUCUAUUUGGAAAAGUUUCGGCAGAACCUGUCUUCCAGGUGUAAGCUUGGUGAAUAUAUUAAUCACUCCAUGAGUGCUUGACAAAGUGGAAUAAGUCAAUUCUUUAUAGUUUUGUUGGUGGUUUGUCUAAAACCAUAUAUCAAUUAUAA
Danio aesculapii is the source of this 729-nucleotide long non-coding RNA. RefSeq lists it as uncharacterized. Lineage: Eukaryota; Metazoa; Chordata; Actinopteri; Cypriniformes; Danionidae. The record is from RefSeq and is a predicted model, not a curated record. The transcript has 4 exons.